ACAAACUUGGUCAUUUAGAGGAAGUAAAAGUCGUAACAAGGUUUCCGUAGGUGAACCUGCGGAAGGAUCAUUAGCAAAUCUAAACGUCAGUACCUGUGAGAACGAUGGAGGGGUGCGUGUACGCACGCACACCCCCGCUCCAAGACGAUGAUUGUCAGAGGUACACACUGCAUAACCGCAAACAACUUUUAACAAUGGAUCUCUUGGCUCUUUAUAAGAGACAGACAAACUUGGUCAUUUAGAGGAAGUAAAAGUCGUAACAAGGUUUCCGUAGGUGAACCUGCGGAAGGAUCAUUAGCAAAUCUAAACGUCAGUACCUGUGAGAACGAUGGAGGGGUGCGUGUACGCACGCACACCCCCGCUCCAAGACGAUGAUUGUCAGAGGUACACACUGCAUAACCGCAAACAACUUUUAACAAUGGAUCUCUUGGCUCUUGCAUCGAUGAAGAACGCAGC
This 456-nucleotide unclassified non-coding RNA is filed under the name uncultured fungus. RNAcentral's name for it is "partial contains small subunit ribosomal RNA, internal transcribed spacer 1, and 5.8S ribosomal RNA". The stretch from base 1 to 73 matches the Rfam family "Eukaryotic small subunit ribosomal RNA", at positions 1759 to 1831 of the family's 1831-position model. The record is from RNAcentral. Lineage: Eukaryota; Fungi.